CCCUUAGAUGUUCUGGGCCGCACGCGCGCUACACUGACGGAUUCAACGAGCUUACAACCUUGGCUGAAAGGUCUGGGUAAUCUCCAAAAUCCGUCGUGAUGGGGAUAGAUUAUUGCAAUUAUUAAUCUUCAACGAGGAAUGCCUAGUAAGCGCAAGUCAUCAGCUUGCGUUGAUUACGUCCCUGCCCUUUGUACACACCGCCCGUCGCUCCUACCGAUUGAAUGGUCCGGUGAAGCGUUUGGACUAUGGUUUUCUGAUGGUCCGCCGUUGGAUUACCGUGGGAAGUUCGUUAAACCUUAUCAUUUAGAGGAAGGAGAAGUCGUAACA
Molecule: ribosomal RNA, 327 nt
Filed under: uncultured eukaryote
Lineage: Eukaryota
Description: partial 18S ribosomal RNA
Rfam family: Eukaryotic small subunit ribosomal RNA
Source: RNAcentral